CUUUCAAUAAAGUUUUGGGGACGACGGGGGUGGUGCUCGGGGUCAUCGCUGGCUCCAGCGUCGUUUUGCUCACUGUCAAUGCCGUUUUGGCUGAGAUUUCCGAUACCAUUUUUGCCGGAAAAGGGGUGCAGGAUUUCUUUGGCUGAUGACAUAUUCUUUUUAGUUUUUAAUUUUUCGUUGCGGUUGGUAUUGUAGGUGUACGCACUUAUCGUUUCUUUGGCGCCGCUGCUUCUGUGAAAUUGGGCGACACCAUUCAAUGUUAAUGCUCAUCGUUUACCUCAUUUUGUUUUUGUUAAUACUUGUUUUUCCCAACUUCUGCCAGAAUUUGUCAACUUAUUACAUUGGCAAUCAGUAAUUGAUGUGCUGGAAUAUAUAGUAAGCGCAAUCAGAUGUGUUUAAGUAGGAGUAGUACUCCCUCCGUCCCACUUAAACGCAACAUUGCUUUUGGGCAUAAGAUUUAAGGAAGGAGUGAUAAAGUAGGAGAAAAGAAGUAAUAAAGUGAUAAAGUAGGAGAGAGAAUAUAAUAAGAAAAUAUUUAAUUAGUGAUAAAGUAAGAAAGAGAAAAUAAAAAAGUGAUAAAGUAGGAGAGAGAAUGUAAUAAGAAAAUAUUUAAUUAGUGUUAGUUUUUGCCAAAUAAAGAAUGUAGCAUCUUGGUUGGGACGGCCCAAAAAGGAAAAUGUUGCAUCUUGGGUGGGACGGAGGGAGUAUUAUUUAAGACUUCAAUUUGACAAGACUUUUAAGAGGGUGUUUAGCUGAGCUUAUAAGAGCAUCUCCAGCGGGUGUGUCGAAGGAGGCGUCGAUCCGGGUCGCCAGGGUGGUGGCCGCGCUGGAGAUGCGGCGUGGUUCGAAGCAGCGGCGAAGCGAAGACACGAGGCGAAGGCCGAUUUUGUGCGGAGCGUGUAUACCACGCUCUGAAAUUUAAAAAAAAAAUGAAAACAAGAGAGACAAUUGCAGAAGGGAAGAAGAAGAAGAAGAAGAAGAAAAAGAGAGGCGGUGGGAGACCGUUGCAGAAGGGAAGAAGAAGAAGAACAGAGGCGGUGGGAGACCGAUUUUAUUUUGAUUUUUGAUUUUUAAAAAUUUUAAAAAUCUAAUUUUUUUAUCAUAAUUUUUAUUUUUUUUAUUGUAUUUAAAUUAUGUCUUUAAAUUAUUGUAAUGUUUAAUUUUAUUUUUAAUGAAACUAAAAAUUUAAAAAUAAAAGUGUAGAAAUAUGAAUUUUGUGGAAAUAGAGAUUUAAGCACCCACCUAAGACACAAUGCAUUGGAGAGGGGUGUGUCUUAGGUGGGGCCCACUCCUAAGACACCCCUCUAAGACACCACCAUUGUGGAUGCUCUAAGCUCCUCAAAAGUGUUUGGCAAAAUAAGUUUUCAAAAGCUUAUAAGCUCCCCAAAAAAUAAGUUCCUCUACCCCAAGUUAUUUUUUUAUAAUCUCAUAUGCAACAAUCAUUUUACAAAUAUUUUUCAACUAUAAUUUAUUAUUUUCAUUAUGUAUUAUUCAAGUUCAUUUUUCUUCGAUUUUCUCUCUCUAAAAAAAUAUUUUUCCUCUCUAACGAAAAAUUCUCUCUCUAACUUUUAAGUUCAAUUAUUCAAACACUUUGACAACUUAUAAACUCUUAAAAAUUACAUCUUAUAAGCUCUUGAAACAUCUUAUAAGCUCCAAGAACUUAUAAGCUCUUUAAAAUAAGCUUAGCCAAACACCCUCUAAAUCUUUUUCCUACUAAACACAAUGAGAUGUGGUUGAAUAUGUAUAAUAAACGCAAUGCAGAGGGUGUUUGGCUGAGCUUANGCUCACUGUCAAUGCCGUUUUGGCUGAGAUUUCCGAUACCAUUUUUGCCGGAAAAGGGGUGCAGGAUUUCUUUGGCUGAUGACAUAUUCUUUUUCGUUGCGGUUGGUAUUGUAGGUGUACGCACUUAUCGUUUCUUUGGCUCCGCUGCUUCACCAUUCAAUGUUAAUGCUCAUCGUUUACUUCAUUUUGUUUUUGUUAAUACUUGUUUUUCCCAACUUCUACCAGAAUUUGUCAACUUAUUACAUUCGCAAUCAGUAAUUGAUGUGCUGGAAUAUAUACUAAGCGCAAUCAGAUGUGUUUAAGGAGUAGUAGUAUUAUUUAAGACUUCAAUUUGAC
RNAcentral lists this long non-coding RNA (2118 nucleotides) under Salvia miltiorrhiza (redroot sage). RNAcentral describes it as "long non-coding RNA (SMIL_LNC005984)". Lineage: Eukaryota; Viridiplantae; Streptophyta; Magnoliopsida; Lamiales; Lamiaceae. The record is from RNAcentral.